UCAGAUGUGUAUCAGAGCCACUCUAGCCAAUUUUAUUAACGAAAAAUUUUACGUGAUUUACUUUUCACCAGUCUGUUCUGGCUUGCUUCGAAUGAUAUCAGAAUCACCUGGAUCAAUAAUAGCCAGU
Molecule: long non-coding RNA, 127 nt
Organism: Prionailurus viverrinus (fishing cat)
Lineage: Eukaryota; Metazoa; Chordata; Mammalia; Carnivora; Felidae
Exons: 3
Source: RefSeq, a predicted model, not a curated record